Molecule: long non-coding RNA, 275 nt
Filed under: Zea mays
Lineage: Eukaryota; Viridiplantae; Streptophyta; Magnoliopsida; Poales; Poaceae
Description: long non-coding RNA NONZMAT003515
Source: RNAcentral
UGCACCAGCACACUUCACACCACUCUCCAGCACUUGGAACACACGGACACACCACUACACAUCUACAGGCUACAGCAGUGACCAGUCUACAGAGGGAAACAAUCUCAUCUCUCAUGUAGAGACACAGCCAUACCAUACAGCCGCUAGUCUGCCACCAACGAAGGAGACACAGGGACAGACAGACAAUCACCAAUAAGCCAGACAUGCACCACAGUCCACAGCUCACUGUUGUGUUGCUUAAGACUUGGAAGUGGAAGUAACCUCAGUUCUUUUUC